RNAcentral lists this ribosomal RNA (494 nucleotides) under uncultured bacterium. RNAcentral's name for it is "partial 16S ribosomal RNA". It matches the Rfam family "Bacterial small subunit ribosomal RNA", at positions 28 to 507 of the family's 1533-position model. The record is from RNAcentral.
GACGAACGCUGGCGGCGUGCUUAACACAUGCAAGUCGAACGAUGAAGCGCCUUCCUUUCUGGUCGGUGUGGAGGCGUGGCGCACGGGUUAGUAACACGAGAGUAACCUUCCCCCUUCUGCGGGAUAACCGCAUGAAAGUGUGGCUACUACAGGAUAUUCUGGACCUUUCGCAUGAUGGGUCUGGGAGAGAUAUUGUUUCGGUUGGGGAUGGUCUCGCGGCCUAUCAGCUUGUUGGUGUGAUGAUGGCCUACCAAGGCGGUGACGGAUAGCCGACCUGAGAGGGUGGACGGUGCUAAUGGGGAUAAGCGGUCGCCAAGACUCCAACGGGAGGCAGCCGUGGGGAAUAUUGAACGGAGGGGGAAAGCUGGAUGCAACGACGCGGGGGGAGGGAUGGAGGUCUUCGGGUAGUACACGUCUUUCGCGAGUGAAGCAGUGCUGCAUCGUUUGUGGGUGGGUUGACGGUAGCUGGAUAAGAAGCCCCGGCUAACUACGUG